This 29-nucleotide small RNA is filed under the name Bombyx mori (domestic silkworm). Its description in RNAcentral is "ovarian small RNA-21021". Lineage: Eukaryota; Metazoa; Arthropoda; Insecta; Lepidoptera; Bombycidae. The record is from RNAcentral.
UACGAUAAAUUCAUUUUUGUUGGAAUUAU